GACGAACGCUGGCGGCGUGCUUAACACAUGCAAGUCGAACGCUGAAGCUCAGCUUUUGUUGGGUGGAUGAGUGGCGAACGGGUGAGUAACACGUGAGUAACCUGCCUCCUUCUUUGGGAUAACGCCCGGAAACGGGUGCUAAUACUGGAUAUUCACUGGUCUUCGCAUGGGGGUUGGUGGAAAGGGUUUUUCUGGUGGGGGAUGGGCUCGCGGCCUAUCAGCUUGUUGGUGGGGUGAUGGCCUACCAAGGCUUUGACGGGUAGCCGGCCUGAGAGGGUGACCGGUCACAUUGGGACUGAAAUACGGCCCAGACUCCUACGGGAGGCAGCAGUGGGGAAUAUUGCACAAUGGGCGCAAGCCUGAUGCAGCGACGCCGCGUGAGGGAUGGAGGCCUUCGGGUUGUGAACCUCUUUCGCUCAUGGUCAAGCCGCAACAAUGGUUGUGGUGAGGGUAGUGGGUAAAGAAGCGCCGGCUAACUACGUG
Molecule: ribosomal RNA, 483 nt
Filed under: uncultured bacterium
Lineage: Bacteria
Description: partial 16S ribosomal RNA
Rfam family: Bacterial small subunit ribosomal RNA
Source: RNAcentral